Molecule: transfer RNA, 71 nt
Filed under: Tuwongella immobilis
Lineage: Bacteria; Pseudomonadati; Planctomycetota; Planctomycetia; Gemmatales; Gemmataceae
Description: Planctomycetes bacterium MBLW1 tRNA
Rfam family: tRNA
About the family: Transfer RNA (tRNA) molecules are approximately 80 nucleotides in length. Their secondary structure includes four short double-helical elements and three loops (D, anti-codon, and T loops). Further hydrogen bonds mediate the characteristic L-shaped molecular structure. tRNAs have two regions of fundamental functional importance: the anti-codon, which is responsible for specific mRNA codon recognition, and the 3' end, to which the tRNAs corresponding amino acid is attached (by aminoacyl-tRNA synthetases). tRNAs cope with the degeneracy of the genetic code in two manners: having more than one tRNA (with a specific anti-codon) for a particular amino acid; and 'wobble' base-pairing, i.e. permitting non-standard base-pairing at the 3rd anti-codon position.
Source: Rfam by way of RNAcentral
UACCCGAUAGUGUAACGGUAGCACAAGUGGUUUUGGUCCACUUCGUCUAGGUUCGAAUCCUAGUCGGGUAG